CUACGGGGCGCUCCAGUGAGGAAUAUUGCACAAUGGGGGGAACCCUGAUGCAGCAACGCCGCGUGGAGGAUGACGCAUUUCGGUGUGUAAACUCCUUUUAUAUGUCAAGAAAAUGACGGUAGCAUAUGAAUAAGCACCGGCUAACUCCGUGCCAGCAGCCGCGGUAAUACGGAGGGUGCAAGCGUUACUCGGAAUCACUGGGCGUAAAGGACGCGUAGGCGGGUUGGAAAGUCAGGUGUGAAAUCCUACAGCUUAACUGUAGAACUGCACUUGAAACUUCUAAUCUAGAGUAUGGGAGGGGAGAUGGAAUUAGUGGUGUAGGGGUAAAAUCCGUAGAUAUCACUAGGAAUACCGAAAGCGAAGGCGAUCUCCUGGAACAUUACUGACGCUAAGGCGUGAAAGCGUGGGGAGCAAACAGGAUUAGAUACCCCCGUAGUC
This 438-nucleotide ribosomal RNA is filed under the name uncultured bacterium. RNAcentral's name for it is "partial 16S ribosomal RNA". It matches the Rfam family "Bacterial small subunit ribosomal RNA", at positions 339 to 795 of the family's 1533-position model. The record is from RNAcentral.